GUACACGCUGUGACUAGCAUAUCAAUAAGCGGAGGAAAAGAAACUAACAAGGAUUCCCCUAGUAACGGCGAGUGAAGCGGGAAGAGCUCAUAUUUGAAAUCUUAAAGGGUUUCCCUUUACGAAUUGUAGUUUAAAGAAGUGUUUUCUGUUGAGGUUUUGGUAAAAGUUCUUUGGAAUAGGACAUCAUAGAGGGUGAGAAUCCCGUAUUUGACCUUUACUUUCAACUUUGUGAUACACUUUCAAAGAGUCGGAUUGUUUGGGAAUGCAGUCCAAAAUGGGUGGUAAAUUUCAUCUAAAGCUAGAUAUUGGCGAGAGACCGAUAGCGAACAAGUACCGUGAGGGAAAGAUGAAAAGAACUUUGAAAAGAGAGUUAAACAGUACGUGAAAUUGUCAAAAGGGAAGCGUUUGACACCAGUGUUGUUUUUCUGAAAAUCAAUUAAAGAACUGUUUAUGCUAAGCUGUUUAGACUUUAUCAGCUAACUGUUUAGUUUUGAGCUUUUCUUUAAUGCACUUUUCAGUCUAACAAGUCAACAUCAAUUUCUUUUGCUGUAAAAAAGCUUGAGGAAGGUGGCUUGAGAUUCGUCUUAAGUGUUUAUAGCCUCUUGCCUAUGCAGUCGGAGAGAUUGAGGUCUGCAGCGUAGAUCCUUCGGGGCUAAAUGCAUUUGUGCUAAGUUAUAGCAUUUUAUAGACAACUUGUUGACUAUGAUUUGUCUUGUAGCUUACUCGCUUAUGUUAUUUUACCUACGCUUAGGAUGUUGAUAUGCAUGACUGAUAU
Molecule: ribosomal RNA, 775 nt
Filed under: uncultured Neocallimastigales
Lineage: Eukaryota; Fungi; Neocallimastigomycota; Neocallimastigomycetes; Neocallimastigales
Description: partial large subunit ribosomal RNA
Rfam family: Eukaryotic large subunit ribosomal RNA
Source: RNAcentral